AUACAUAUUGCAUAGCAUCAUUAAAGCAUUUAGUAAAGCAUCAAAGAAAUGUUGAAACUCAAAAUACAUAUAAUGGUAACAUCGUUGCUAAAAUCCCAUUAACUGGAGUGGACAGCCCAGAGGUAUUAAAUAGAUAGGAAGAUGAGCAAGGUCAUCGUCAAUCUCCUAGAUAGUCAAUAGUAACAAAUUCACUGGUAAUCUGGUAUUGCUGCCACAAGUGAUUAGAUACUUAGACUCCUAAACAUUCAGCAUAUUUAGCUUAAUCUGAGUUUAAUUAGGCUUUUUGAAGGGAGCCAGCCACAUUAGAGAAACUGAGAAAGAAGUCUAGUUACUACUGUUCAUAUUUGUAAUAACACGAGAAGAUCUUUGCUACUACACCAAGUGGUUAAUAAAUAAAUAUAAUUGUAUUAGUUCCAAAAUAUACCUUUUUUUAUGAUCAACAUGGGAAGGAACAUCAUUGUGGGAAACUGCAUAAUCAAUCGACCU
RNAcentral lists this long non-coding RNA (486 nucleotides) under Zostera marina. RNAcentral describes it as "long non-coding RNA (ZMAR_LNC001091)". The record is from RNAcentral. Lineage: Eukaryota; Viridiplantae; Streptophyta; Magnoliopsida; Alismatales; Zosteraceae.